AGAUCUCGAGCCUAAAGUUUUGGAUGGCAAAUUUGGCAAAACUAGAGUUUGCUGCCUUGGACCUUUCCAGGGACAACUAUUUAUCAUGGGUCCUGGAUGCCAAAAUUCAUCUACGAGCCAAUGGCCUCGGACAAACAAUUGUAGAUGAGAAUGAUGCUUCGCCUGAAGAGAAUGCGAAGGCCAUGAUCUUUCUAAGCCGCCACAUCCAUGAAGCGCUGAAGAGCGAAUAUGUGGUGGUUGAUGAACCGUUGGUUCUGUGGAAAGCUCUAGGUGAAAGAUAC
This 281-nucleotide long non-coding RNA is filed under the name Prunus dulcis (almond). Its description in RNAcentral is "sRNA ncRNA". Lineage: Eukaryota; Viridiplantae; Streptophyta; Magnoliopsida; Rosales; Rosaceae. The record is from RNAcentral.